This 945-nucleotide transfer RNA is filed under the name uncultured cyanobacterium. Its description in RNAcentral is "partial contains 16S ribosomal RNA, 16S-23S ribosomal RNA intergenic spacer, and 23S ribosomal RNA". The stretch from base 342 to 414 matches the Rfam family "tRNA". The record is from RNAcentral. Lineage: Bacteria; Bacillati; Cyanobacteriota.
UGGAUCACCUCCUAACAGGGAGACUAACUGAUUGUGAUGUCUGAGCGCUGAGGAAAGAGGUUAGAGAGCUCGAAAGAGUGAUCAAAGCCGAUUAAAUUAGCACAUUUUGUCUCAGGCCACGAUCCUGUCAUCUCGAAGGUCGAUCGGUACCUCAAGGGAGAAGCUGGAAAGUUGAUGAUCGCAAGAUGAUCAAGUUGUCCAGUUUAUCUUUUCAGUUCCUAAACUUUGUCUAGGUCACCCCCCAGAGGGUUACUUCCUGGGCCAUUAGCUCAGGUGGUUAGAGCGCACCCCUGAUAAGGGUGAGGUCCCUGGUUCAAGUCCAGGAUGGCCCAUUCGUGUUUGGGGGUUUAGCUCAGUUGGUAGAGCGCCUGCUUUGCAAGCAGGAUGUCAGCGGUUCGAGUCCGCUAACCUCCAUCCAACGGAACCUCUGAACCACCGGGAGGGAUUCUGGUGGUGGUGACAAAGGACAAUUGGAAUUUAGGUGAUGGUGUUGAAAGACUCCAGCCUCUUCCCCUGGUGAACGCCGAAGGCGCGAGCAACGGGAAGACGCUGGACUCAAGGAGCUGAUGCGAAGGCAUUGGUUCUGUGUUCAGCAAGAACCUUGACAACUGCAUAGGUGAAGUCUGGAAAGAAAGCAUCUCAUGGAUGCCGAAACCAGAAGUAACGAAGCCUGAAAGGGCUGAAGUUAUGGAAGGUUUUGGAGAUUCUUGAGUUUAGAGCCGAGAGCUUCCAGCGGCUUCUUGCUCCGCCGAGGAGGAAGGAGUUUGAUUGCUUUUUUGAACCACCAGCUUGUUUGAUCCUGCAAGGGAAACCUUAAAGGGAGAGAAAUGAGGAGGAAGGCAAAGGAGCAAGAAUAGGAAUCAACACCCUAACUGCUGAGGAGUUGAAAUGGUCAAGCUACAAAGGGCUCACGGUGGAUACCUUGGCACACAGAGGCGAUGAAGG